UAAUUAUUCAAAUUUUCAGUUCAAAUUUUACUUCCUCUGUGGGUGUUCUGAAUGCUUAAUUGGAUUCUGAGAUGGGGAAAAUGUCUAGGGCUGGUAAGAAAACACACAAUCAGUAGUUAAAGAAACUACUGUUAAAUGCAUUAUAUGUGGUGACCAAAAUUAAAACAAAUAGAAUGAAAAGGUAGAAGGGCUUUCAGCGUGGUCUGCUGUCUCUUUCUUUUUAAAUACAAAUGAGAAAUAAGGAACAAAACUUUUUUUAUUUUAUUCAGCACUCAGGAUGAUCAUGUAGUGUCCUUGCCCGUGGCAGGAGGGUUGGAAAUCGGUAUUCAAGGUCCCUUAGGCCCAAACCAUUCAGUGAUCCUGUCACGAUGGUGGCGUGCGGAAAGGCCAAAAUCCGCAAGGCUUUUAGAACUAGAAACCACCAGCGAUGGAGCGGUGAGGAGCCAGGCAGGAGCGGCGCGGGACCUGCGGCAGCUCCGGCUCUGCCGUGGGACAUCACCCGCUCCGUGGCGCCCGGCAGCACCUGGCGGCACCACACGUUUCAGAAGCGGAGUAAAAUAAAUCCACAGGACACACGCAAAGGCUGAGGCGGCGUUCCCGCGGGUGUCGGGCUGGCGGCAUCGCGCGGGCUCUCGCCGGCUCCGAGCUCCCCGCGCCCGGCAGCGAUGGCCGGCGCUAGGGGGCGCUGUGCGCCGCUCCGGCCCGCGCCCGCGGCUGCGGCGCCGGGGGCCUCAACGGCCGGGAUGGAGCCCAGCGGGCAGCGAUGGAGCCCAGCGGGCCUCAACGGCCGGGAUGGAGCCCAGCGGGCAGCGAUGGAGCCCAGCGGGCAGCGAUGGAGCCCAGCGGGCUGCAGUGGACCCCGUUGGGCCGCAGUGGAUCCCAGCUGACAGCAGCACACCCGGCCAUGGGCACCGCCUGCACGACGCUGUGUGUGAGGCGUCAGGGGUCACAGAUUCUGCCGAGUUGGAAGGGACCCACAAGGAUCAUCAAAUUUGGCAUGUCCUGAAAUAUCACAAAAUGAACCCAGAAUAGUCUCAAUCUAUCAGAUUGACACUCUUCAUUUAUCAAUUUUCAGAAAUAAAAUCUUUCAAGCGCCAGAGAAAUACACCAUGAGUGGGACUUUUAUCUGGGCCUUACUCUUAGUUCCACAAAUUCCCACCAGCAUUGGCAUUACUGUCUGCCAGACAGAGGGGAAUAAGUGAAGUUGUUCAACUUUGCUUUGUCAGUGUUGCAUGGCUUGAGGACCAUUUCAGCAGGGAAUGCUGGGGCUUCCACAGCAGGGUCAUCAGUAGAAUGAAUCACCCCAGCUUGACUGAAGACCUGGCAUUUCAUCUAGACCACAGAGAUGGAUUCAAAGCCAAGGAGGAAGCUUCCAUUUUUACAGGAGAUCAAGGGUGCUGACACUUUAAUGUUUUUCUGAAUUAUGCAGUAGAGACACAUCACCUAUUAGUUCUGACAAUGUACUGUGCUGUAAGUGUUAAUCUGCAUGUACACAGGCAGAGUGUCCAGCAUUUACAAAUAGUUUGUGAUAAACAUGACAAUUUGUGACUGAAGCUCAAAUACAUGGACUAAUUCAAAAUGGCAAAGUGGUCUGGUCCUUUUGUGAGAAAGAUGUUUUCUGUGUGUAAAGAAAAUCAAAUGAAAAUAGCACUGAUAGGUAUCUGUUGAGAUACCUAUAAAUACUGUGUUUGGUUCAUAUGAAAAAGGGGGUUUAAAAAUUCAGCAAAAUUACUUAUUCUCUAGUUUCAUUAAAUUACAAAUUUAAGACAUCAAAAAUGUAGAAUCUAAUAUUGUAUAUUUGAUUAUGGGUAAUUUGCCUAUGCUUUUUGAAUUAUUCAUGUACUUUCUUAAGGAAAGAAAGCUCAUGGACUUGUUUUCCUUAUUCACCUUCAUCAUCCCUUAUGCCAUUAUGAUUUUGAAGCCUUCAGGAGAUUUCAGUGAAAGGUGAUGAUAGAGCAGAGGUCACAGGUAGAUGACCCUGAAAGCUGCUUGAAAGUCAUUAGGUGGGAAAGUGCAAGGAAGCUGGUGUGCUGCUUGAGAGCCCCCAGGUGGGGCUCAGCCUGGGCCAUCCGGCCAGCCAGCACUUGAAUUAAACCAACUCACUCUUACCUGAGACCACACAAGGCUAUGGGCAGCUCAAGGUGUUGCUGUUGCUGUGUGUGAUGGGAGCAGCAGGAGGAGUUUGAGACACUGGAAAGAUUUGCUAGAUGAUUUAUAAGCUAUAGAACUUGUCUAAAAUACAAAUGUGUAUAGAUUGCAAGGUGGACAUUUCAUGCUUUGGAAUAGUUUUAUUCCAAAACUAGGAAAAUUUAGGGGCAUUUAGUGCCAUAUUGGAAUGAAGCCUGAAGGAUGUAUCCUUCACUUGCUUAAGAUGUGCCUAAAGACAGUGAAAUAUGUCCCUAAAGUCUUUAGAAACAACAUGGCUGUUCUCCAUGUUAAUUGAACUUUCAAUUUUUGUUUGCAUGGCAGGCAAAAACUGACAUUUGUUCAAAAUUACCUAUAAAUGUUUAAAAUCAAUGGUUUGAAUUCCAUCAGGAUGAACCUGGCUGGUUGGUCAAGCUGGUAAAAAGACACCCACAAUUAUUCCUAUUACACUGCAGCCAAAGCAGGCUGGGCUUGGUGUUUAAGGAGAAGGGGAAGAAAUGGCAAAUACUGCCCGGAAACUGAGAUGAGAAAACUGAAAGGGAAUGUCCUAAUGAAAGAAUUGUAGCUGGUCAGUAUUUUAUAGAGGCACAAUUUUUCUGUUCCUUGUUCAUCUGCUCACACAGUGAAGAGAAACUAUUGCCAGAGAGACUCCAGGAUAAUUAGGGACUAUGUGGGAUAGAAGUUUCUGAUAAAUAAUAUAUGAAUUGAAGUGGGAUUCUUAACUACCUCCACCCCAGAGUGAACAUAGUCAUGUAAUACAACUCACUUUUGCCAUCAGUGAGAAGACUAUUUACAUAAAACAUGUAUUAAAUAGAUCUACAGAGCUGGACCAACAA
RNAcentral lists this long non-coding RNA (2981 nucleotides) under Ficedula albicollis (Collared flycatcher). RNAcentral's name for it is "lncRNA (ENSFALG00000026427.1)". Lineage: Eukaryota; Metazoa; Chordata; Aves; Passeriformes; Muscicapidae. The record is from RNAcentral.